This is a long non-coding RNA of Felis catus (domestic cat), 2307 nucleotides long. RefSeq lists it as uncharacterized. The transcript has 5 exons. Lineage: Eukaryota; Metazoa; Chordata; Mammalia; Carnivora; Felidae. The record is from RefSeq and is a predicted model, not a curated record.
UCUCUUGGCUGAUAGGCAUUAUAGAACUACCUACCCCUCUCUCGCACUAGGAAAAAAAAAUGGACACACUCCCCACUAGGCUGACAACUCUCUUCCAUCUGACCUUAUAUGAGUGUAAUGGAGUGAUAAGCUAAAGUUUGAAGGGCCGGUGUGGCCACUUCUAGAGCACCCAAGGCAGAUGUCUAAUAUGCUUACUUAACUGCUGCCUUCAGAACAGAGAGGGACUUACUUCACAUUGUCUGUAAUUUUAGUCAAAGUCCUCAGAGAACAGUAAACAUUCCAUUUUACAUCUGAGCUCAGAUGUAAAUUUCAUAUCAUGGUGCCUAGCACAUUAUGGGUCUCAGAACUGUUAGUUGGUAAUUAUUAUCACAAUUUUUAUCUUCAUUCAUUCAUUCAUUCAUUCAUUCAUUCAUUUUUACUUGCAAAGGCUCAAUUGAGAAAUCCUGUAAUGCAACUACUUAUAUAACUUUUUAAGGGGGAUAUUGAAAUCUAAUGCUCAUAUUCUGGCAUUUUUCAAAUGAGCAAGAAAGCUAAAAGAGGGAAAAAAGAAGUAAAUCUAAAUUUUAAGAACUGCUUGGGGAAAUGGAGAAAAGUAACACCUUUCCACAUUGAAAUAUUUUUUCUUCAGUACAGAGGACUGUGGGCCUCAUUUACACUUGCCUUUUCCAGAAGCUAACUUGUAGCUCAGCUCACCUGCUUUUAGGAACAGGUUGAUUCAUUUUUACCUUAGCAUCCAGCUAGUACAUUUGAAAUUGCUGAUGAAAGGUACUGUCAAAUCCCUGGUCUAUUUUGAUAAUGACUUGCACUUGUAAGGCAAUCUGCCCAUUAGUGUAGGGAAGGAGAAUUGGGACAGCACCUCACAAAACGAUCUUUGAAGCCAGCACGGAGCCCCAGAGUCUGCUGGGUAAGAAUUUAUAUUCCUAUAGCAUUUUGACUCAGCACGCAAAUGUGGGAUGUAUGGGGGUGUUUGCAUUCAGUGCCAGAUUGUUUGCCUACGCCAGAGGCUGUCCUAAGAGAUUUGUUGUAUCUGCCUUUGCUUACAGAUUGGAAUUUAGGGGCCUUUAUUUAAAUGGUACCAGAAAUGAGUCGUCAGUGACCUAUUCUUCAUGAUCUCAUAUAAGCAGCUGCUGGGAGAGACAUUUCAUCCCACAAGCCAUGACUUCAUCAACUAUUUUUUUAUAAUGUUAGCUCACUAGAUCAUGCCUCUGGCCAAUUUUCAGGUGGUUUACAGCCCAUCUGGAGAGAAAAAAACUCAGUGGCAUGAGAGUUAAUCAAGUUCUUUCUACAUGUCAAGCAUUUAAAAAAUCUUUUGUGCACUUAAACAGAACUGUAUAUUUGUUGAUAAAAGUAUCUGAACACUGAGGCACCAGCUUGGAAAGACAGAGCUGUUGAGCACAGUAUCCCCAGAGCUUUCAAGCUGGAGGUGGAAUUGAGUAGGCAGAUAUUGAAAGAAAACACGGAAAACUGACAGAGUUCUUACCAGAAGAACAUCUUGGUGAUCAUUCUCUUGAGUAAUGAGUUAAUUCUCCUUAUAUUCCUAGAGUCAAAACACUAACCAGUACAAUAAAUUCAAUUUUUGAGAAAUUAAGGACUAAGAAGGUGUGUUAUCUUUGUUUCUGAUAGUUUGCUAUCUCGAUCAGUGUCAUAAUUAGGCAAUGUUAAGGCAUGGUGAAAAUCAUUACCACCAUAACCAUUACCAUUAAUUGGCAUCAUGACACCAUCAAUGACACCAUCAAUGACACCAUCAUCUUCACCAUUCAUAACAGGCUUCCUAACUGUAGUUGCAACUGUAGUUGCCAGAAUCUUUACAGGUCCUAAUUUUUUCACAAGCCUCAUUAGGAGAAAAAUUUUAAUUAUUAUUUCCAUUUAACAAACAUGGAAAGGAGGCUUAGGUAACUCAUGCAAAGUCACGUUUCCUUAUAGAGGAGAAAAGCUGGGGGUUUUCCACUUUGUGGAGGAGAAAAUAUGGGAUUUUACCAAGGUUUACUUUUCUGAUUUUUAGUUUUCCUUUUUAUUCUGCAUUUUAGUCUUUUUCACUAGCCUUAAUCUAGAACCCUGGUCCAUAUUCCAGGGAAGGAUAUUUCUCAUAGCCAUAAAUUAAACUAGCCAUCUGUACUUUUGGUGUUUUAGUGUAGAUAAUGCCUUCAGGGAACAGUGUGUAUGUCUCAGUGUUGUCCUGUGCAUUUUAGGUUAUUAGCAGCAUCCCUGGCUUCUACCCACUAGAUGCCAGUAGUACCUCCCCAGUCAUGGCAAUCACAAAUGUCUCCAGACAUUGCCAAGUGUCCCUGAGGAGGCAAAAUCAUCCUG